AAGGAGAGAACAAAAGGAGAGGCGAGGGAAUGAACCAAUGUGCUUCUGAAAGGAGCAUCGUGGGCGUCCACUGGGGAUGGCCGUUUCCCUGGACCUUGCACACCAAUCCUGGCCACAGUCCCCCAGGGCGGGGAGCGCCAUCUUGAUUUUAUAGAUGAGGAAAGGAAAGAAAAGCAAAGCUUGGAGAACCCAGGUCAUUUAGCUUGCCCGGCCUCGGCUUGCCACCUGUCAACUGGGGAAGGAGGUCGAGAGGCUGAGAGGCCACUGUGCCUGGAGGGGGCUGUGAGGGCCAUGGCUCAGAACUUCUGCCCCUUCUUACGACUUGAGCUCCCACAGUGUGUAAGUGGCCCGGCCCAGACUUGAACCUGCUCAACCUGUCCUGCUGCCUGCCUCGGGCACUUAGCAGACUCCAGGCCUUGCAGUGAGUAACUGAGGAUGAGGGCUGGUCCCUGGGCCAUCCCUGUCUUCUUGAGGCCAUUAGGUUUAGGUCCUUCAGCCUGGAGGGUGAUUGAACAGCUCGGUUCCAGUCCGCCCCGGGUACCUGGUGCCCUUCCUCUCCAUCUGCCUCCCCUGAGGACGAGAUUGGAAUACAAUUGCAAUGGUCUGGCUCACUAAUUUCAUUUUCUGUGUCUGGAGUAAUAGGGCCUCUUGAACUCAUUACGUUUAUUUAAAUUCAAAUAACAACCAGGUUGGUGGGCGGGAGAGGCUUUGCUGAGGAAGCCUGGUCAUUCCCAACCAGGAUGGCUCAGUGUUCGGCUGCUCAGUUGGGGCCCAGCAGAAGCUGACAUUGACCUUGACCCCAAGUGGGCAGGCACCAGGGAGCUCCCCCCAGCACUUCACCUUCAGAGAACCAAUUAGGCAUGAGAACAGUGCCUUGGGGUCCAGUAGGGGCCAGCCAGCCAGCCCGCCCAGGAGAUGGGUCUGAGCCUCUUCCUUGAAUUAGCCAUUUCCAUUAUGUUCUUGUCAGUUUCAGGCCAAAUCUGCCCCAGGUUUUAUUUCAAUCUGGCACUGAGAGGUGAGGUGGGGGUGGGUGGCAUUCCCAAAGGGAUCUGUGUUCCCUAAUGCGACAGAACUAUUUUCUAGUGAGCCGGGGCACCCUCUGCUCAAGGGCUUCAGUGAUUUAGGUCCUUCAGUUUGGAGGGUGAUUGAACAGUUCAGUACCUGGGUGCUGUGAUGGUGGUCACUGGGGACUCUGGCUACAGAGACGAUAAACAAGGGACGCUGGUGCAGAGGGGUCUCAGGAGGCCACGGGAGCACUUCUCUCUUCACUGAUUCCUGCCUUCAGCCUUGGUCCUGUGCUAAGUCCCUUGGCUCUCCCCAAGGCCUCUCCUCUUGGCUGACAGUGUCUGCUCAGUGUCUGCUCCCGUGUCUUGGUCCCCUCCUCUGUCUAGUACCAUCCAGGCUGCUCCCCUUCCAGGAAGCCUCCCUGGUUGCCUUCGGAUGCAUCUUUCUUCUUGUUCCCCAGAAUUUUAUGCCAAAACCCAAAUGCUUUCUGGGCUGACAGGCUCUCUCCUCCUGACAAGGAGCAGGGCCAAUGUAGAUCGAUCCUGGGGUCCCCAGUGCCCACCCAGAGAGGAUGCUCAGUGGCAGCUCUCUGAAAUCCAACAGAAUUCCCUGGUACCCGGCCCCUCCCCUUCCUUCCUACAUUCACCGUAGGGUUCCGGUCCCCUCACUCCUCUGCCUCUGUCCCAGGACCACCUGCGUAGCCCCCCACUGCCAGCCGGCUCAGGCUCAGCAGAUGUUGAUGCUUCUGCUUCUGGGACCUCACAGCUGCUCUGCCGGUCCCCCAUGGCCUUUCCCCAGCCAUCCUGGCCCCAAGCCUCACCCCAACCCUGUUCCUCUUUGGAAGCAUUACCCCACUGGCUGCUCAGGUUAGGACUAGGUACCGGAUGCAGGGCCUGGGCCACCUGGCGCCACACUUUGCUGCCUCCUAGGCUGGUGGCUCUUUAUUAGCUCAGGGUUCAAUGCUUGGACUUUGAUGUGGCCUGGGAAUCCUUGGGCAGAUGUGCAAGAACCCAGUCUCCCUCUGCACAUGUGCCAAGUGGCUGUGGCCUCACUGCGUGGGCUCCACGGGGCAGCCUGCAAGAGGACAGCACUGCUUUAUUCUCCAGACAGGCAAACCAAGGGGCCCUGAGGUGGAGGGCCGGCCCAGGUAUACAGAGCUGCGGUGGUACCAGGUCAUAGGUGAGGAGCCACCUGGCUUCUCCCACAGGCUGCAGACCUCGUUCAGAAUGUGCAGAUUCCUAGAGUGUUCUGGGGUUGCCUGUCAACCACGGCCACCUCUCGGUCAAUCUCGGGUUGCAGAUGCAGCAUUUUGGUGGAGAGGUUAGUGGUGUGAGUUGUGAGCACCAGCCCAGGAAGCGGAGCCUCAAGGCAAAUAUCAGCUCUGCUACAUUUUGCUGUAUGACAUCUGGGCCCUGGUUUUUCCACAUGGGAUAAAGGACCUCUUUCUUCUCUGUCCCCAGAAAAACUACAAGACCGGCUUUCCUCAGCCUGCUCACCAUAUGGUGCCCCAAGCAGGAGAAAACCAUCUGCAGGGGCUGGGAGUCCUUACCAUCUUGGCCAAGAUGACUGUGCGUCUUAGAUUAGCUAGUGGUCCAUCCGAGGGAGAGCCCCUGCUGGGAGACUUAGCUUUCAGUUGGGUUCAACCUCCCCUCUCUGAGCCUUGGGCACUCAUCUUCACAAUGAGGCUGUUGGACUUGCUGCUCCUAUGGCACCAGCAAUUCAUGACUGCAUGCUCUGGGUAGUGACUAGUGACCUGUGGCGAAGCUGAUCAGGGGGCUCUGGGGCAUUGUCACCCUACAGCAUAUCCCAGAGACAGCCUAAGGCUCACUGCUGUCAAGAACUGCUGGUGGGGGCAGGGCUGGGCAGGGGUGGGCAGUGGUGCCUGCUCUCCUGCAAGCAGGGCCCGGGUCCUGAGCUCAUCAUCUAAGCAGGUAAUUAUGUGUGUGCUUUGUUCACUACACAAAGGGGCUCUCAGAGAACUUGGAGGGGCUCUGCUUCCUGGCUGAUUUGAUUUUUUCAGAGCUGGAGUGUGAAAAUCAAGCUGAACCUGCCUAAUUGUGUCUGGGAAGGCGAUUCAGAGAGGCUCUCUUGGAAGGAAAUCAGGACAAUUAGCUCUUGGCUGCGGGGAGAGGGGGGUGCAAGCUCAUGAUAGCAAAUGUCAGCCUGUUCCGGGGAACCAAAGGGCAGCACAGGGCGAGAGUGGGAAAAGGAGGGGCGUCCGCGGCUGCUUCCCAGGGGCUGGUUAGCGCCCACCGCCUGCUGGAGCAUAGGCUCCUGGUGCCUGCGGGAGCAAAGGCUGGGGCGGGAGAGGGAGAGUGGGGUGCUCACCCGAGUCUUGGGGUUUGGCCACGUGGCCUUGGCAAGGCAGGAAGCCCGGGGUCUCAGGUUCUCUGCGUCUGCCCAGUGAGCUCUGGCACAGCGAGCAGAGGGAGCCCACUCACCCCGGGUAGCGGCCGGUCCAGCGGGAGGGUGCGGAGGGGCUGGGAGAGGCCCGUGGCCUCGCUCAAACGGGGCGGCGCAGGGUCAGGCUCCAGCUGGCCCAGCUGCUCUCCGGGCUGCCACGCUUUCUGUGUCACAGAGGAAAAUUCUAACUCUAACGGCCUCUUGGGCUUCCAAGGCAGAGAGGUGGGGUCCGCCUUAGCCUUGCCUGUUCUGAGCUCUGCGACGUUACAGAGGCUCCUCAGCCUCUGCACGGCUUCCUAACCAGACGCACCUGGCAUCCAGCGCCCCAUCUGGCACCACGCCUGUGACAACUGCCCAUUGUCCCUCCUGUGGCAUCAGGAAACUGGGGUCCAUGAGUCCACUUCCCAGUCACCAAAGAGUGUGUGUGUGUGAGUGGGUUUGUGAACGUGAGUGGGUAUAUGUGAUGUGUGUAGGUGUGGGAGUGAGUGUGCAUGGCUGUGUGGAAGUGAAUGUGAGUGUAUGUAAGAGUGUGAGUAUAAGUGUGUGAGCAUGUGCACAUGUGAGUGUGUGCACAUGAAAGUGUGAGGGUGUGGGUCUGUGAUUGUGAGUGUAUGUGUAUGCAUUAGUGAGUGUGAGCUGGGUGAGUGGUUAUGGGAGUGUGUGUGUGAGUGCAUGAGUGUGUGUAAGAGUGCAUGUGUUAGUGUGAGUAUAUGAGUAUAUGUGUAGCUGAGUGUGUGCAUGUAUGUGAAUGUGUAUGUGUGUAUAUGUGUGAGAGGAUACAUGUGUGUAGAAGUUUGAAUGUUUGUGUAAAUAUGUGUAUGAGUUGUGAGAAGUGUAUCUGAGUGAGUGUGUCAAAGUGUGUGAAUGUGUAUAGUGUGUAUGCAUGCAGUGCAUGAGUGUGUGCAUGGGUGUUUGAAUGUGAAUGUGAGUGUGUGUUGGAUAGACGUGCUCCUGGAUGGAGUGUGUCUUUCCGUGGGGCCCAGGAUAUGCGCUUCAUUUUUUAUUUAUUUUAAGGGAAGCGGCCUGGUUUGGGUGGAGCCAUAGAGCGGCAUCAGAAUCCGACACCCCAGGUGGGCAGUGAUCAUGUUCUUCAGCUCCUGUGUCUGUACAUAGAGAUGAUGGUCACACCAGCUUCCAAGUGAGGGUCAAACUCUUUGAUACACUCGGAAGUCUUGGCACAGGGCCUGGCACCACUGUUGUCACCGACAUUGUGACUGAAUGGCUCAGGGUCCCACUAGACACGCUAGCAUGGGAUGUGAGAGGAACCCACCCCGGUGGCUGGAAUGAGGAUGCCAGGGCUCAAGUUCAGGCAGCACCCACUGGCAAGGGGCAUGUGGCAUCCAUUUGGAUUGGUCUAUCUUGAGAUGCUCCAGUGUUAAAUAAUUUGGAUCCCACCUCUGAGAGAGGACACAAGCCUCAGGCUGCUUGCAAAGGCAGAGUUGUAGAGGAGGUGGUGGCAUGUGUGGGCGUGGCCAGAGAAUCCAGCCCCAGAGCCAGCCCUGGUCUGAUCUGAGGAGCCUGGGCCCCACUGUCCCCAGCUGUCCACUGGGAUGUGAGGCCUGGAAGUGUGCAUUGCCCUCUGUGCCCUGUGCACGCUGUGUAUUGUGUCUGUGCAAUUUCUCACACCCGUUUGGUAGGUGGGAUGGGGGCGGGCAGGGAAGCAGGUUUGGAGUCAGGGUGGUGAGGCCCUGCGCAGUGCAGGUGGAGGUGGCCGUGAAGGAGGGGCAGCCAGGGGCCCUGGGGUUGAAUAGCAGCUCCCAGCAGUUUGCUGGCUCUCCUGUGGGCUUCGGAAGGCUCUCUUGCCUUAGGUUUGGCCACUUGGCAUGGAGCACAUGGCGACCUCUCCAACAUGGCCUCUGACAGUGGCCUCGUGGUGGCCCACCUGUGAGGAACGCCUCCUCCGUAAAGCCUUAGAGACCACAGGUCCUGAAGCCAGAUUUAAAGUUAGGUGGUCAGUGUAGUUAGGUAAAUCGGGUCUAAUAUCGAGUAAAAUCGAAAAUGAAGGCUAUGCUGACAAUGAUUCCGAGAAAGGCAGGACAACUCAUGGAAUGUUAAUGAAGUCCCGGAAAGGCCCUAGGCCAAAGUCCACCCCAAAGAAAUGUUAAUGGACCCAGGAAACAGCCCCCAACAGAUUUGCAGAUAGCCCAUCCCAGAGAAGUGAUAAGCCCAUCCCAAAAAGUGAUAAUUAAGUCCUUCCUGCCCGUUUGGCCCACCUGUGUCCUAACCCUUCCCCCUCACCAGAACUAUAAAAAGGGGAGACAACCGCACUUCCACGGAUUCCACCUCUUGGGUCCCCUUCUUCCUCCGGGAGAAGUCUUUUCUGCUGUCCUUUAAUAAACUUCUUUUUUUUUUUUUUGAGAAUUUUAAUAUUUAUUUUUUAGUUAUUGGCGGACACAACAUCCUUGUUUUGUAUGUGGUGCUGAGGAUGGAACCCGGGCAGCACACAUGCCAGGCAAGUACGCUACCGCUUGAGCCACAUCCCCAGCCCAUCUUUAACAAACUUCUAAUUUCUACUCUGACCUUGCCUCGGCGUGCUCUCUGAUGUUAUUCUUCAACAUUGGGGAAGCAAGGACUCGUCACCGGUCAACAGCGGUAACAGUCCCAUUUCC
This 6017-nucleotide long non-coding RNA is filed under the name Marmota monax (woodchuck). The record is from RNAcentral. Lineage: Eukaryota; Metazoa; Chordata; Mammalia; Rodentia; Sciuridae.